CCUGCCUCCCUUGCCUGCCUCCCGAAUCUUCCCUCUUUCACCCAAAAAAUUGUUUCAUCUUCCACCCGCCGCGUCUCCUGCUCGCGGCCACCCCCUCCCUCCUAGCGUUGAUGGAAGAAGCAUGGCCGGCCCUCGGCCCGACGGGCUGCGACGCGGCCUUCCCACCCCCGCCCCAGCCCCCGUGGCGUGGGGCGCGACCGCGACGCGGCGAGAGACGGUGGCCAAGGAAUCGUCCGCGCAGGCGGUGAGCCGAAUCGUGUCCAGCUGCGCCAACUCGAGUGGCCUGGCCGUGGCCCUCGUCGACGCCAACGCCGUCAUCUCGCGCUCGCCUCCACUACGGGCCGGCUGAUCACGGUGCUCGAGGAGGUGUGCGACGCUGCAGCGUGCCGGAGGCUCGCGCUCCUGCCCACCCCCGUCGAGACCGUCGAGCCAGCCCCUGAGUUCGUCAAGAGAGUAGGGCCAGCUUGAACCGUGUGCACCAGGAAGAAGACCAGCCCAAAGUUGAUGAAGGGAGACAACCAACAGGAUGCCCUGCAAAUCAAUUUCGAGCAAGGUGUGUGUAGAUUCAGAAAUGUUCAGACUGAGUGUUCACCGAAUUAGUAAAUCUUGUCUUUCCUAAAAACUGAAUUUGUAUAUUCAGUCUUUGCUGAAUGCCAGCUUCCAGAGUUUAAAUGUUCAGUCUUGUCUUCCCUAAAAACUGAAUUAGUAAAUCUUGUCUUUCCUAAAAACUGAUCAUGUCUUCGAACAAGGUGCAUAUGCCAGUGUUGUGUUAACACUUAACACUGAAUGUUCAGUCUUGACUUAGAAUGUUCACCGAAUUUGCAAAUCUUGUCUUCGAACAAGGUGCAUAUGCCAGUGUAAUCCCAACAGCAAACUGAAUUACUCUGAAUAUUCAGAAAAUAUGAUGUUAGAAAAGAUUGUGAAUUACUCUGAAUAUUUACAUGGAACAGCAAACUGAAUUUUUUUGACCAUUUGACCUGGUGUAAACCGUAGGCAAAGCUGUUUGGAUCCUCAAAUACAGGUGUAAUUAAAAGAGCAUGUACCAUUACCAUCUGCAGCAUCUCAAGAAAUUCAAAAUACGGGAGGCUGUGCGGCGCCGAGUGGAUGUACGGCGAGGUUUUCGUAAUGGCGUCAAGUCACCCUUGCCAUAUGGAACAUCUGAGGAGCAGCAGCAGCACAAGGAGCAACUCCUUACAGUACAAUUUUGGAGUACUCUUGGUGUAAAUCAACUUCACUAAUUUUCAGUUGACACAGGUUCAGAUCAAUCAGCCACAAUCAGUCCAUUGUUCAGGAAGUACCUGCAGCCAAUGCAGUCGCCGACAUCAGCAGCAGAUGCAGUCGCCAACAGCAGCAACAGGUCCGCGCGGACUCGAUCGGGCGGGCUGCAGCGGCAGCAGUAGGUGGCGGGCGACGGCAGCGGCAGGUGGCGGACGGAUGGCAGCGGCAGCAACAGGUCCCGCCACCUGGGAAGACCCGCGUGGCCCUGCCUGCGGAAGUCAGGGAGAGGGGAGCGGCGGCUGGGGUUGCCGCAGGCACGAGGAACCUGCGCCGGCGAGGAGGGCGACGAGGAGGAGGCGCCCGUCGAGGUGGUCGCCUUGGAGGAGCAGCUGCAGUCGGGGUCGGGCUCCUUGGUGGAUGGAUCGGGCGACGGAGGAAGGAGGAAGAAGCUGAGGGGGGGCUGAUUUGCAACAGUUUACGACGUAGAAGAGGUUUUUUGCAAAAUUAGAGUUGAACUAAGUCGCGGACAACUUUUCCCGGACGGAGGGAGUAGUAGGAAACAAUACCGGAAGCAGAGUAGCAAACUCGGUUUACGCACUGCAAAGAAGAGCUGUCUUUGCACGACACGCACCAGGAGACUCCCUAGUCAGACUAAGCGCUGAUGAUUGGCAAUCAAGUACAGACAGUUGAGUCCAGCAUCUACAGGAUGCGGGAUGGAAGUUGGUUCAGAAUAUAAAUGGAUGAGGGAUGUUAAUUGGUUCAGGCCCUGUUUGUUUGAGCUUUUGCUUUUGCAGCUUUUUCAUUUUGGCCAAAAAGUUAUA
Triticum aestivum (bread wheat) is the source of this 2039-nucleotide long non-coding RNA. RefSeq lists it as uncharacterized. Lineage: Eukaryota; Viridiplantae; Streptophyta; Magnoliopsida; Poales; Poaceae. The transcript has 5 exons. The record is from RefSeq and is a predicted model, not a curated record.